CGGGUAGCGGAACACGUACACAACCUUCCUUUAGGUGGGGGAUAGCCCAGAGAAAUUUGGAUUAAUACCCCGUAGUAUUGCCAGGUGGCAUCACUUGGCAAUUAAAGAUUUAUUGCCUGAAGAUGGGUGUGCGUCUGAUUAGGUAGUUGGUGUGGGUAAAGGCCCACCAAGCCUACGAUCAGUAACUGGUGUGAGAGCACGACCAGUCACACGGGCACUGAGACACGGGCCCG
Molecule: ribosomal RNA, 233 nt
Filed under: uncultured bacterium
Lineage: Bacteria
Description: partial 16S ribosomal RNA
Rfam family: Bacterial small subunit ribosomal RNA
Source: RNAcentral